This 66-nucleotide transfer RNA is filed under the name Naesiotus nux. RNAcentral describes it as "tRNA-Arg". Lineage: Eukaryota; Metazoa; Mollusca; Gastropoda; Stylommatophora; Orthalicidae. The record is from RNAcentral.
CCAAAGAAAGUAAUAUAAUACAUUAAGUUUCGGCCUUAAUUAAGAAAAAAUUUUUUUCUCUUUGAA